GACGAACGCUGGCGGCGUGCUUAACACAUGCCAGUCGAACGGAAAGGCCCUGCUUGCAGGGUGCUCGAGUGGCGAACGGGUGAGUAACACGUGGGUGAUCUGCCCCUUACUUUGGGAUAAGCCUGGGAAACUGGGUCUAAUACUGGAUAGGACCAUGCUGUAGGUGGUGUGGUGGAAAGAUUAGUUUCGGUAAGGGAUGAGCUCGCGGCCUAUCAGCUUGUUGGUGGGGUAAUGGCCUACCAAGGCGUCGACGGGUAGCCGGCCUGAGAGGGUGGACGGCCACAUUGGGACUGCGAUACGGCCCAGACUCCUACGGGAGGCAGCAGUGGGGAGUAUUGCACAAUGGGCGCAAGCCGGAUGCAGCGACGCCGCGUGGGGGAUGACGGCCUUCGGGUUGUAAACUCCUUUCAGCCAUGACGAAGCCCUUGUGGUGACGGUAGUGGUAGAAGAAGCACCGGCUAACUACGUG
RNAcentral lists this ribosomal RNA (469 nucleotides) under uncultured bacterium. RNAcentral describes it as "partial 16S ribosomal RNA". It matches the Rfam family "Bacterial small subunit ribosomal RNA", at positions 28 to 507 of the family's 1533-position model. The record is from RNAcentral.